GAGGGUAUAGCUCAGUGGUAGAGCACAUGCUUAGCAUGCAUGAGGUCCUGGGUUCAAUCCCCGGUACUUCCA
Molecule: transfer RNA, 72 nt
Filed under: Camelus bactrianus (Bactrian camel)
Lineage: Eukaryota; Metazoa; Chordata; Mammalia; Artiodactyla; Camelidae
Also listed under: 2 other names
Rfam family: tRNA
About the family: Transfer RNA (tRNA) molecules are approximately 80 nucleotides in length. Their secondary structure includes four short double-helical elements and three loops (D, anti-codon, and T loops). Further hydrogen bonds mediate the characteristic L-shaped molecular structure. tRNAs have two regions of fundamental functional importance: the anti-codon, which is responsible for specific mRNA codon recognition, and the 3' end, to which the tRNAs corresponding amino acid is attached (by aminoacyl-tRNA synthetases). tRNAs cope with the degeneracy of the genetic code in two manners: having more than one tRNA (with a specific anti-codon) for a particular amino acid; and 'wobble' base-pairing, i.e. permitting non-standard base-pairing at the 3rd anti-codon position.
Source: Rfam by way of RNAcentral